AUAAUGGUCUUUCGCCUGAAACAGCUCCAUGUCGCCGACAGCUCAGCCACAAAAUAUGUAACUAUUCAGCACUGAAGAGACAGUUAGCUUCGGCCCGAGAAGCCAGCGAACAGCAGUCAUCAAGUCAGCGAACCCAGAGCUCAGCAAAGACAUUUCGGCAGCGAUUCGAGCGACAUGUCGUGUCCUGUCUGACUCAGCCUCUGAUAUUUUCCUCCACCGUGAAUGAAGAGCAGAGCAGCGGUGAGGCAGCGAGGAGGGACUCAGGCGAGUUCCUGCAGUAACAACAUCACGUGAUCACUUUCGUCAUGUAAAGGGAAAAAGAAUGAUAUUCAUCUUUGGAUGAAUAAAUUAUUCCACUUAUAAAGCGA
Molecule: long non-coding RNA, 368 nt
Organism: Pygocentrus nattereri (red-bellied piranha)
Lineage: Eukaryota; Metazoa; Chordata; Actinopteri; Characiformes; Serrasalmidae
Exons: 2
Source: RefSeq, a predicted model, not a curated record